AGGUCAGCCACGGGAGCCAUUAUUGCAGGAUGCCACUCCGAGGUCUGCUUCUUCCAUCUGCCCCACAUCCAGCCGUGCAAGGGAGGAAUUGUCCGCUGCCUUCUGCUGAAAGCCGCCUUGCCUGAGCCGUCACACCCAACGGUCCAAUGCUCCCCAGAAACAGCUGCUGUUUUCUGAGAACAAUGAGCUGCUUGUGAGCCUGAGAACAGGAAGAAAGCGCCACUUCGCAAGCAGCCGUGAGGCUACAGGCGGCGGGCAUGGUUGCGGAUGGCAGGGGCCAGUGCUGUGGCAUAGUGGGUAAAGCUGCCACCUGCAGUGCUGCUAUCUCAUAUGGGCACCAGUUUGAGACCUGCCUGGCUGCUCCACUUUCGAUCCAGCUCUCUGGGGCCUGGGAAAGCAGUAGAAGAUGGCCCAAGUCUUUGGGCCCCUGCACCUACAUGGGAGACCCAGAAGAAGCUCCUGGCUCCUGGCUUUGGAUGGGUGCAGCUCUGGUCAUUGCGGCCAUCUGGAGAGUGAACCAGCAGAUGGAAGAUCUCUUUCUCUCUCUCUCUCUCUCUGCCUCCACCUCUCUGUAACUCUACCUUUUAAAUAAAUAAAUUUUUUAAAAAGUCUGAUUUCCAGGGCAUUACUCUCAAAAACUGUGGUGGAUGGAGCUUGGAAAUCUUUUUUUAAUACAAGUUAUAUUUUUAUUUUUUAAAUAUUUGCUUAUUUGAAAGGCAGAGUGACAGAGAGGAGAGACAGAGACACAGACAGACAUUGGUCAGGGCCGGCACCGUGGCACAGUAAGUUAAUCCUCCGCCUGAGGCGCCAACAUCCCAUAUAGGCGCCAGUUCUAGUCCUGGCUGCUCCACUUCUGAUCCAGCUCUUGGCUAUGGCCUGGGAAAGCAGUAGAAGAUGGCCCAAGUCCUUGGGCCCCUGCACCCACGUGGGAGACCUGGGAGAAGCUCCUGGCUCCCAGCUUCGGAUCAGCACAGCUCUGGCCAUUGCAGCCAUUUGGGGAGUGAACCAGUGGAUGGAAGACCUUUCUCU
Molecule: long non-coding RNA, 1029 nt
Organism: Oryctolagus cuniculus (rabbit)
Lineage: Eukaryota; Metazoa; Chordata; Mammalia; Lagomorpha; Leporidae
Source: RefSeq, a predicted model, not a curated record